UACAGAGGAUGCAAGCGUUAUCCGGAAUGAUUGGGCGUAAAGCGUCUGUAGGUGGCUUUUUAAGUCCGCCGUCAAAUCCCAGGGCUCAACUCUGGACAGGCGGUGGAAACUACCAAGCUGGAGUACGGUAGGGGCAGAGGGAAUUUCCGGUGGAGCGGUGAAAUGCGCAGAUAUCCGGAGGAACACCGGUGGCGAAGGCGGCUUCCUGGACCGACACUGACGCUGAGGCGCGAAAGCUAGGGGAGCAAACGGG
This 253-nucleotide ribosomal RNA is filed under the name uncultured bacterium. RNAcentral describes it as "partial 16S ribosomal RNA". It matches the Rfam family "Bacterial small subunit ribosomal RNA", at positions 524 to 776 of the family's 1533-position model. The record is from RNAcentral.